AUUUAUAUAGUUUAAUAAAAACAUUACAUUUUCACUGUAAAAAUAAAAAUCCCCAUUUUUAUAAAUU
This 67-nucleotide transfer RNA is filed under the name Bactrocera moluccensis. RNAcentral's name for it is "tRNA-Glu". It matches the Rfam family "tRNA". From Rfam's summary of the family: Transfer RNA (tRNA) molecules are approximately 80 nucleotides in length. The record is from RNAcentral. Lineage: Eukaryota; Metazoa; Arthropoda; Insecta; Diptera; Tephritidae.